This 501-nucleotide ribosomal RNA is filed under the name uncultured Aquicella sp. RNAcentral's name for it is "partial 16S ribosomal RNA". The record is from RNAcentral. Lineage: Bacteria; Pseudomonadati; Pseudomonadota; Gammaproteobacteria; Legionellales; Coxiellaceae.
CACAGAGUUUGCCGGUGCUUAUUCUGUCGGUACCGUCAAGCAAUAAAGUUAUUCACCCUAUCACCUUCUUCCCAACCUAAAGAGCUUUACGACCCGAAGGCCUUCUUCACUCACGCGGCAUCGCUGGAUCAGGGUUGCCCCCAUUGUCCAAUAUUCCCCACUGCUACCUCCCGUAGGAGUCUGGGCCGUGUCUCAGUCCCAGUGUGACUGGCCGUCCUCUCAGACCAGCUACCGAUCAUCGCCUUGGUGAGCUCUUACCUCACCAACUAGCUAAUCGGACGUAGGCCCCUCCUCGAGCGCAACCCUUACAGGCUGCUUUCCUCUCUCGAAUCUAUGUGGUAUUAGCUAAAGUUUCCCCUAGUUAUCCCACUCUCAAGGGCAGGUUCCUCCGUACUACUCACCCGUCCGCCGCUCGUCAGCUGAUAGUAUUGCUACUACCACUGCUACCGCUCGACUUGCGUGUGUUAAGCGUGCCGCCAGCGUUCAAUCUGAGCCAGGAUA